This 253-nucleotide ribosomal RNA is filed under the name uncultured bacterium. Its description in RNAcentral is "partial 16S ribosomal RNA". It matches the Rfam family "Bacterial small subunit ribosomal RNA", at positions 524 to 776 of the family's 1533-position model. The record is from RNAcentral.
UACAGAGGUCCCAAGCGUUGUUCGGAUUCAUUGGGCGUAAAGGGCGCGUAGGCGGCAAUUCAAGUCAGCUGUGAAAUCUCCGGGCUUAACUCGGAACGGUCAGCUGAUACUGCUUUGCUAGAGUGCAGAAGGGGCAAUCGGAAUUCUUGGUGUAGCGGUGAAAUGCGUAGAUAUCAAGAGGAACACCUGAGGUGAAGACGGGUUGCUGGGCUGACACUGACGCUGAGGCGCGAAAGCUAGGGUAGCAAACGGG